This 866-nucleotide ribosomal RNA is filed under the name Amphidinium gibbosum. Its description in RNAcentral is "LSU rRNA". It matches the Rfam family "Eukaryotic large subunit ribosomal RNA", at positions 35 to 951 of the family's 3401-position model. Lineage: Eukaryota; Dinophyceae; Amphidiniales; Amphidiniaceae. The record is from RNAcentral.
AAAGCAUAUAAGUAGGUGGAGGAAAAGAAACCGAAAGGGAAUCUCUUGGUAAUGGCGAAUGAAAAGAGACAUGCCCAGUGUCAAAAUCAGUUUAUCUGACUUGUAGGCUGUAGGGGAUUGCCAACUUGGGGGCAGGUGCAAGUCUCUUGGAAAGGAGCACCAGCGAGGGUCAGGGUCCUGCCUGUCACCUGUCAUCCCUUGUAGACGGUUUGCCCAAAAAGAGUCGUGUUCUUCUGGAAUAGAGCACCAAUUGGGUGGUACUCUGUGCCCAAGGAGCAUUACGUGCUUGAGACCAAUAGCGAACAAGUACCAUGAGGGAAGGGUGAAAAGGACUUUGGAAAGAGGGUUAAGAGGGCGUGAAGCUGCUGGAAGGGAAGUAGAUUGAAUCUCUCCUUGUGGUAAGAUUGCGGGUUGCAGUCUCUGUCUGGAAUGCUGCCAUCUGUGCCUCUUGCCGCUUGGUUGGGCUUGGCGUUCUGCUGAGAAAUGUGGUGAGGGCUGGCUGAAGGGUUGUAACCUGAACCAUCCUCUUGCUUGCUCUUGGCAAACCGCUUGUGCUCGACCAAACAGUUCAAUCUUACCCGUCUUGAAACACGGACCAAGGAGUCUAAUGCGUGUGCAAGUGUGCAGGAUCUAAACCUGACAGCAUAACGAAUGUUACUUGCUGGGAUUCUUGCACCAGCAGCCAACUGACACUUGGGAGAUGUUUGCGUGUGAGCACACUUGCUAGGACCCGAAAGGUGGUGAACUAUGCCUGAGAAGGGUGACGUCAGGGGAAACUCUGAUGGAAGCUCGUAGCGCUACUGACGUGCAAAUCGUUCGUCUGACUUGGGUAUAGGGGCGAAAGACUAAUCGAACCAUCUAGACGU